UGAAACAGAGAAAUUUGAAAAACAGUUAAAAUAAAUGGGUCCACUACAAAGGCUGGAUUCAACCAUGCCUAGGAGUGAGUCCGAAAACUUAUUGUGCCGCGUAUCUCUUAGGCAUACGAGCACUGAGUUGUUUAAUCCUAAACGGGUUAAAGGUUUUAUGGCUAUUUGUAUUAAUCCAAUAUGUAAAUACUUAUACUUAUUCUCUUUAUGUUUUUCUAUUAUCUUUCUGGAUAACAGUUGGAAGUCUUCUC
RNAcentral lists this long non-coding RNA (251 nucleotides) under Amborella trichopoda. RNAcentral describes it as "long non-coding RNA (ATRI_LNC001480)". Lineage: Eukaryota; Viridiplantae; Streptophyta; Magnoliopsida; Amborellales; Amborellaceae. The record is from RNAcentral.